UCACCGGGAGAUAUUGGCGUCU
RNAcentral lists this microRNA (22 nucleotides) under Pristionchus pacificus. Its description in RNAcentral is "ppc-miR-8283-3p". The record is from miRBase by way of RNAcentral. Lineage: Eukaryota; Metazoa; Nematoda; Chromadorea; Rhabditida; Neodiplogasteridae.